CAGUGAUCACUUUAACGGCCGCGGUACCCUGACCGUGCAAAGGUAGCAUAAUCAUUUGCCUUUUAAUUGGAGGCUAGUAUGAAUGGUCUAACGAGAGUAAAACUGUCUCAUAUAUAUUCAAUAAAAACUAACCUAAAGGUGCAAAGGCCUUUAUCCACUAAAAAGACGAGAAGACCCUGUUGAGCUUUAAUCUUAAUGAGCAUCCUCCCUAUAUUUAUAAAUUUAUUUUGCUCGAUAAAGAUUUUAAUUGGGGCGAUUAAGGAACAAUUAUCAGCUUCCUGAUUAUAAAUUAAAUCGAUCCAGCAUUGCUGAUCAACAAAAUGAGUUACCACAGGGAUAACAGCAUAAUUCUUCUUGAGAGCCCACAUCGAAAGAAGAGAUUGUGACCUCGAUGUUGGACUAGGGUAACUGGAAGGUGUAGCCGCUUUCCUGUUUGGUCUGUUCGACCAGUAAUUCCCU
RNAcentral lists this ribosomal RNA (459 nucleotides) under Nerita insculpta. Its description in RNAcentral is "partial 16S large subunit ribosomal RNA". It matches the Rfam family "Bacterial large subunit ribosomal RNA", at positions 1913 to 2597 of the family's 2925-position model. The record is from RNAcentral. Lineage: Eukaryota; Metazoa; Mollusca; Gastropoda; Cycloneritida; Neritidae.